CCCUUAGUUAUCCUCGGUCGCACGCGCCAUACAAUGUGGCGCACAACGAGUCUCCUUGGCCGACAGGAUGUCCCGCGAGCGAUCGGCGACGCAGCCAGCUCGGUCUUCGGGCAGACUCGGUGAGAGUGGCCCGUCCUCCUGAGAGGGCGAUCGUCGAUGCCUCGGGAUUCUGGGCAAUCUGGCAGAGCGCUACGUGACUGGGCUAGACUUUUGUAAUUUUUGGUCUUGAACGAGGAAUGCCUAGUAAUCGCAGGUCAGCAUCCUGCGAUGAUUCGGUCCCUGCCCUUUGUACACACCGCCCGUCGCUCCAUCCGUGGCAUGCGCCGGUGAAGAGGGGGAGGCAGCGUCGGCCGUGUAACAGCGGAUCGUACGUGGAACCCCUCUGAACCUUCGCACGUAGAGGAAGGAGAAGUCGUAACA
RNAcentral lists this ribosomal RNA (420 nucleotides) under uncultured eukaryote. RNAcentral's name for it is "partial 18S ribosomal RNA". It matches the Rfam family "Eukaryotic small subunit ribosomal RNA", at positions 1470 to 1796 of the family's 1831-position model. The record is from RNAcentral.